This 523-nucleotide ribosomal RNA is filed under the name uncultured bacterium. RNAcentral describes it as "bacterial SSU rRNA". It matches the Rfam family "Bacterial small subunit ribosomal RNA", at positions 396 to 911 of the family's 1533-position model. The record is from RNAcentral.
ACCGCGUGGGGGAUGAAUGCCUUCGGGUUGUAAACCCCUUUUCUGGGGAAAGAAUAAGGACGGGAGGAAAUGCCAGUCCGAUGACGGUACCCCAGGAAUAAGCAUCGGCAAACUUCGUGCCAGCAGCCGCGGUAAGACGAAGGAUGCGAGCGUUAUCCGGAAUUACUGGGCGUAAAGGGCGUCUAGGCGGUCUAGUAAGUCAUUUGUGAAAUCCCUCGGCUCAACCGAGGAGGGUCUUGUGAUACUGCUGGACUUGGGUGUAGGAGAGGAGAGUGGAACUCACAGAGUAGCGGUGGAAUGCGUAGAUACUGUGAGGUACCCCGAUGGCGAAGGCAACUCUCUGGCCUGCCACCGACGCUGAAGCGCGAAAGCGUGGGGAGCAAAGGGGAUUAGAUACCCCCGUAGUCCACGCCCCAAACGAUGUUCACUUGGUGUCGGCCGCAUAUACUGGUCGGUGCCGAAGCUAACGCGUUAAGUGAACCGCCUGAGGAGUACGGCCGCAAGGCUAAAACUCAAGAGAAUU